GCCCCGGACCGGAGGCUGCUCCCAGCGCGGCGCGGAGCCCGAGGCGCUCAGAGCACAGGAGCAUUUGGAGUUGUAAAGACCCAUGAGGAUCAUCAAGUCAAAUGAGAAAUAAUUAGCCUAGCUGGACGUUCAACACAGAAUCUUGGCCUUCUCAGGACCCUGCUCCAAGCACCUGAGCCAAUCUCAGGUUCAUGAUGAAGGUCCUGCCUGGGAUGGGAAUGGCUGCUGGCAGCAAGGGAAUUCCUGUACAAAUGCAGCUCAUUCUCUCCUGCUAAUGCUGCUUUACACACCAGCCCCUGCAAUGGCUGUAGGGUGGAACUGGCUGGCACCUAACAUGACAGCUGGCAGUUCCUGGGAAUGGUGGCACAGGCUGUUUGCAGAGGGGCUCAGGCAGUAACUCCCCGGUUCUGAGCUCCCACACAGCUGCCAGGUGUGUCCUGGUCACCCCAAAUCCCCUCCCUUCCAGCCUGAGGACAUCAUCCAUCCACAGCAUUAAAGCCAAGGUACUCUUCCCUCACAGGAAUUAAAUCCCAAGCAAUUACCCCCGGAGAUGUUUUAAAAUAAAAGGUUUGAAUGGGAUGAAGUUUGGAGUUUUUUUGGAAGUGAAGAAGUGAUGGAAAGCUUUUACAGAGAGAAGAACGUUUAACUCAGAGCCCUUCAGGCCUAACACUUCCCUUCAGCAAGAGCUCAGCACACAUCCACAGAGGAAAUCCAGCAUUUAAAAGAAGAAAAAGUGACUUUUGCAAUCAAACUCUGAAGCUGACAAGCCCAGAAGCUCUGUCUGGCCGCCCAGGAACCAAAGGAUACUCCCAGGAAUGAGGCACAUUCCCGGCAAACACCCCCAACACAGCAGAGAGGCACCACUGGACCUCGUGUGUGGGGCUGGCAAGGGCUGCCAGAAGGACUCAGCCCCCCGGCAGGGUGGCAGUGGCAGUGACAGCAGCAAAUUCCCGUGGUCUGAAGGCACAACAGAGAGACAAAGGCCAGCAAUGGCCAUGGGAGGUGCAAGCUGAAUUUUGCUCCCUGUGCUGCCACAUCCCAGCAGGAAAUCACCAGGGGGGAUAGAAAUUCUCAGGGUACACAAAAUGCAGCAUCUGUCACUUAAACUCCCACCCCCAGGUAACCACUGACCUGGCCUGGAUCAGUGUCAAACCCAGCCCCAGUUCUCACCUUCAGUCUGCUCCCAGGGCUGUGGCUGCCACAUUCCUGAUGAGGUGACAAAGGCCACUUUGGACAGGGCUCUCUCUGUCUCAGGUGUGGGGCACUGCAAGGACAGCCUGAAACCAGAGCAGAUCCCUCUGGAUAGAAACACUCUGGGGACAGCUGAGGACUUGCCCCACACCACGGGCAGGAACCAGGGACCCUCCAGUCCAGCCUGCUGGGUUUGGCUGCUCAAACACCAAAGGUUUUUGGCAAUGUUGGGAGGAGUUAAGUGGAUUUUCCUGUCCUGAAAGAGAAGAAAAUGGAAAUAAAGUCCAC
Pseudopodoces humilis (Tibetan ground-tit) is the source of this 1479-nucleotide non-coding RNA. NCBI's taxonomy places the organism in Eukaryota, Metazoa, Chordata, Aves, Passeriformes, Paridae. The record is from RefSeq and is a predicted model, not a curated record.